RNAcentral lists this small RNA (1929 nucleotides) under Arabidopsis thaliana (thale cress). RNAcentral describes it as "ATSL107520". The record is from RNAcentral. Lineage: Eukaryota; Viridiplantae; Streptophyta; Magnoliopsida; Brassicales; Brassicaceae.
UAGCUAAUUCAUCCUAGCUUGUCUAGCUCACCUAGCUGGUUCAGCUUGAACUUUCUCGUUCUUCCGACUAAGUAUUUUAGUCCGUUUCUUGACCAUGGUCUAGUUUUCUCCUAAAACAACCUGGCCUCUUUAUGAACGCGGGACGCGAUCGUUACAGUGUCCCUCUUCACCGCAAAUCCAACAACCCUUCUUAGAUCUAGAUUUGGAUCUAGACUUCUUGUUGUUGUUGUUGUUGCCUCGCUGUUCAGUCCUUCCUCUUGUCUCAGUCUUUUCCUUGACAAAGAGACCUUCAGCCUGACCCUUAAUACUCUUCUUGUUAGACCCUAACUCUAGUUCCUUAGAGUAGAUAGCUGCUACAACCUCAUCUAACGAUAAAGUGACUCUUCCUAACCCAUACUUCAGAGUAUCUCUAAGUUGAUCAAACGGCUUAGGUAAUGACAUGAGUAGUAAUAUAGCUUGGUCUUCAUCAGAAACUAACACGUUCGUGUUCUCUAAAUCAGCUAUAAUACGCAAGAACUCAUCUAUAUUACCUUCUAUGCUGAGGUUUUCUGACAUCUUGAAGCUGUAAAGCUUCUGUUUUUGGUAGAUUCUGUUUGGUAGCGCCUUAGACAUGUACAGUUUGUCAAGCACGCCUAGCAUAGCAGCUGCAGACUGCUCCUUCUUAAUCUUCCUCAAGACUCUAUCAGUAACACUCAGCACAAUGGCGCUUCUCGCCUUUCUCCUUUUUUCUUCCAAGAGCUCUCGUCUCAGUACCUCUUCCUUCUCUUCUUCUUCAGUAAGCUGCAUCUCUGCAACUUUCUCCACCAAAUCGUCUUCUUCCUUAAGAGCCACACUCAGGCCUAGAAUGUCUAGAUGCGCCAUGAGCUUCUCUUUCCACAUCGUGUAAUCCCCACGACCAUCAAACUUUUCAACCUCUAUUCUUGCUGCAGACAUAGUUCAGGAUCUUUGAAUCUUUAGAGAUCCACAGAACAAUGAACCUAUGGCUCUGAUACCACUCUGUAAGGAUUUCUUGACCUCAAGCUGUCGACUUAACUUGAGAGUAAGCCCCACAAAACCAAGAACAGAAAGGACGGAUAAGAGCUUGAAUGAGAGACAGAGAAAACAGAUCAAUAGGUGAGUGUUUUUGUGUGUGAGAUAACAAGAAGAACACAGAGAGUUUGUUAACCCAGUUCACCACCGAAGUAGCUACGUCUGGGUCGAGUAUGAUACUCGGAAUCCACUAGGUUCAAUAUAGAACUUACACCUAGAAACAAUAAGUGACGCACACCAAUGCCCUUCACUAGCACUUGAUGUUCACUCUAUGUGUUUCUAGCCUUAGAGAAUACAAGAAAAGUUUAAGCUUAUUACAAGUAUUCUCUCCUUAGUCUAUAUCACUCAAUCUCACUCUACACUCUCUCAAACCUAACAAGCCUCUUAUAUAGCAACAAGAGGUAACCUAUGCAAUGACCUAAAGCAGCCGCUCCUUUCACUUUGUCGCUGAGCACAGCUCAUAGGAGUCGCCAUCACCAAAUCAAGACAAAGACUGCUUUAACCAAUUGGGAGCACCAGAGGACGAACGAGUACGGACUCCUUGCUGUCAAUGUAGCCGUUUCCCCUAUCUGUGGUCCCAAAAGCAGUUUCAUCAUGGUCUCAUUUACAUUCACCUCAGUAAAACAUUUAAACCCAAUGAGUCAUCAUCUUGAUGGGACUAGUAGCUUGAUCAUCAAGGUUUCAUCUUCACAAAACCAUAACACGUAAUAUAUGGUCCCCAAUUGAAUGAUUUAAUUAAGACCGUAAAACAUUAUUGAUUUAUGAUUUAAUAUUAUUGAUUUUUCAUGGAUCUUUUGUCUAAAAUUCUCUUUAUGAUAUUUUUUUUGAUGUUUUACUUUUGGUAUUUCAAAUUAUUCUUUAUAUAUUUUGUUUGUUUGAGCUUUGAUUCUAUUUUAAAAU